GUGCCUAAUACAUGCAAGUAGAACGCUGAAGAGAGUAGCUUGCUCUUCUUGGAUGAGUUGCGAACGGGUGAGUAACGCGUAGGUAACCUGCCUUGUAGCGGGGGAUAACUAUUGGAAACGAUAGCUAAUACCGCAUAACAAUGGAUGACACAUGUCAUUUAUUUGAAAGGGGCAAUUGUUCCACUACAAGAUGGACCUGCGUUGUAUUAGCUAGUAGGUGAGGUAAUGGCUCACCUAGGCGACGAUACAUAGCCGACCUGAGAGGGUGAUCGGCCACACUGGGACUGAGACACGGCCCAGACUCCUACGGGAGGCAGCAGUAGGGAAUCUUCGGCAAUGGGGGCAACCCUGACCGAGCAACGCCGCGUGAGUGAAGAAGGUUUUCGGAUCGUAAAGCUCUGUUGUAAGUCAAGAACGGGUGUGAGAGUGGAAAGUUCACACUGUGACGGUAGCUUACCAGAAAGGGACGGCUAACUACGUGCCAGCAGCCGCGGUAAUACGUAGGUCCCGAGCGUUGUCCGGAUUUAUUGGGCGUAAAGCGAGCGCAGGCGGUUUGAUAAGUCUGAAGUUAAAGGCUGUGGCUCAACCAUAGUUCGCUUUGGAAACUGUCAAACUUGAGUGCAGAAGGGGAGAGUGGAAUUCCAUGUGUAGCGGUGAAAUGCGUAGAUAUAUGGAGGAACACCGGUGGCGAAAGCGGCUCUCUGGUCUGUAACUGACGCUGAGGCUCGAAAGCGUGGGGAGCGAACAGGAUUAGAUACCCUGGUAGUCCACGCCGUAAACGAUGAGUGCUAGGUGUUGGAUCCUUUCCGGGAUUCAGUGCCGCAGCUAACGCAUUAAGCACUCCGCCUGGGGAGUACGACCGCAAGGUUGAAACUCAAAGGAAUUGACGGGGGCCCGCACAAGCGGUGGAGCAUGUGGUUUAAUUCGAAGCAACGCGAAGAACCUUACCAGGUCUUGACAUCCCGAUGCUAUUUCUAGAGAUAGAAAGUUACUUCGGUACAUCGGUGACAGGUGGUGCAUGGUUGUCGUCAGCUCGUGUCGUGAGAUGUUGGGUUAAGUCCCGCAACGAGCGCAACCCCUAUUGUUAGUUGCCAUCAUUCAGUUGGGCACUCUAGCGAGACUGCCGGUAAUAAACCGGAGGAAGGUGGGGAUGACGUCAAAUCAUCAUGCCCCUUAUGACCUGGGCUACACACGUGCUACAAUGGUUGGUACAACGAGUUGCGAGUCGGUGACGGCGAGCUAAUCUCUUAAAGCCAAUCUCAGUUCGGAUUGUAGGCUGCAACUCGCCUACAUGAAGUCGGAAUCGCUAGUAAUCGCGGAUCAGCACGCCGCGGUGAAUACGUUCCCGGGCCUUGUACACACCGCCCGUCACACCACGAGAGUUUGUAACACCCGAAGUCGGUGAGGUAACCUUUUGGAGCCAGCCGCCUAAGGUGGGACAGAUGAUUGGGGUG
This 1454-nucleotide ribosomal RNA is filed under the name uncultured organism. RNAcentral's name for it is "SSU rRNA". It matches the Rfam family "Bacterial small subunit ribosomal RNA". The record is from RNAcentral.